GUGUCAGCAGCCGCGGUAAUACGUAGGGGGCAAGCGUUACUCGGAUUCACUGGGCGUAAAGCGCGUGUAGGCGGCUGGUCAAGCGUGAUGUGAAAUCUCCGGGCUCAACCCGGAAACUGCAUCUCGAACCGGCCUGGCUAGAGUGCAGGAGAGGGAAGCGGAAUUCCAGGUGUAGCGGUGAAAUGCGUAGAUAUCUGGAGGAACACCGGUGGCGAAGGCGACAUCCUGGACCGGUAUUGACGCUGAGUGAGCGAAAGCCAGGGGAGCAAACGGGAUUAGAAACCCUAGUAGUCC
RNAcentral lists this ribosomal RNA (294 nucleotides) under uncultured bacterium. Its description in RNAcentral is "partial 16S ribosomal RNA". It matches the Rfam family "Bacterial small subunit ribosomal RNA", at positions 505 to 796 of the family's 1533-position model. The record is from RNAcentral.